MicroRNA precursor from Oryza sativa Japonica Group (Japanese rice), 207 nucleotides. It matches the Rfam family "MIR812 microRNA precursor family". The record is from Rfam. Lineage: Eukaryota; Viridiplantae; Streptophyta; Magnoliopsida; Poales; Poaceae.
UAUAAGUACAAUCAUAGGUUUUCACGUCAAAUUUUAAUCGUUUGUCUUAUUUGAAAAAUCUUUAUAAUUAGUAUUUUUAUUGUUAUGAGAUGAUAAAAUAUAAAUAGUAUUUUACUCGUGACUUAUGUUUUUAAAUUUUUUUAAAAAAAAUUUUCAAAUAAGACGGACGGUUAAAGUUAGGCGCGAAAAACCAUAACUGCACUUAUA